CGUAGGGGGCAAGCGUUGUCCGGGAUCAUUGGGCGUAAAGAGCGUGUAGGCGGUCCGGUAAGUCGGCUGUGAAAGUCCAGGGCUCAACCCUGGGAUGCCGGUCGAUACUGCCGGACUAGAGUUCGGAAGAGGCGAGUGGAAUUCCCGGUGUAGCGGUGAAAUGCGCAGAUAUCGGGAGGAACACCUAUGGCGAAGGCAGCUCGCUGGGACGUUACUGACGCUGAGACGCGAAAGCGUGGGGAGCAAACAGGAUUAGAUACCCUGGUAGUCCACGCCGUAAACGAUGGGCACUAGGUGUGGGAGGUGUCGACUCCUCCCGUGCCGGAGCUAACGCAUUAAGUGCCCCGCCUGGGGAGUACGGCCGCAAGGCUA
RNAcentral lists this ribosomal RNA (372 nucleotides) under uncultured organism. RNAcentral describes it as "bacterial SSU rRNA". It matches the Rfam family "Bacterial small subunit ribosomal RNA", at positions 526 to 896 of the family's 1533-position model. The record is from RNAcentral.